UUUUUUUUUUUUUUUUUUUUUUUUUUUUUUUUUUNGGGCCGCCCCUGUGGCAUGUGGAAUUUCCUAGGCUAGGGGUCCAAUCAGAGCUUCAGCUGCCAGCCUACGCCACAGGCACAGCAAGGCCAGAUCCAAGUUGUGUCUGUGACCUACACCACAGCUCACAGCCAUGCCUUAUCCUUAACCCACUGAGUGGGGCCAGGGAUCGAACCCGCAUCCUCAUGGAUACUAGUCAGGUUUGUAACCCGCUGAGUCGAUGGGUUACUCCUCAAGAGCCAGUUUAUAUAUGAUUUUUGGCUAGGAAAUAUAUGCAGUCAAGCAUACGAUGUGGUUAAAGAUGACUGCUAAUCACAAAAACAGAUAUAGAUAUAAAUAUAAAUAUAAACAGGUAAUGGUUUUGGUCCUUUUCUGUGUAUGGGAAGAUGCAAGAAUCUGGGUUUGCUAAAAUUCUUCCUGAGAUAUUUAUCUAACUAUCCAAGAAGAAGCCAGCUCCUCUGGAAACCCUGGACCUCCUCUUCUAUGAUUCUAUCUUGCUUUGUUUCCUUUAAACUUUCCUGUUGUCAGAUAUUCCUGCCAGGAAUUGAAGCCAUGCCUCUAAUCACAUGUACAUCAUUAAAACCUAUAUGAAAUAAAUGAUAAUAGUUUAAAGUUACAGACAAAAAAGCAGAGGAUAAAAACAUAGGCUCUGGGGAGUUCCCAUUGUGGCUCAGUGGUGGUGAACCGGACUAGUAUCCGGAUGCAGGUUUGAUCCCUGGUCUUGCUCAGUGGGUUAAAGGAUCCAGCAUUGCUGUGAGCUGUGGUGUAGGUCGCAGAUGUGGCUUGGGUCCUGUGUUGCUGUGGCUGUGGCAUAGGUGAGUAGCUGUAGCUCUGAUUUGAUCCCUAGCCUAGGAACUUCCACAUGCAGCAGGUGUGGCCCUAAAAAGCCAAAAAGAAGAAAAAAAAAAAAAGCUUAGGCUCUGGAAUCAGAAGGCAUUGUUUUCAAAUUCAGGCCUCAACUUAGGUGUCUUGAGAAAAACACCGAUGAUAACAAAGGCACCAGCCUAUCAUGUGGUGGGUGUUUACUCUGUGCUAAGCAUUGUAGCUAAGAACUUUUCACAUGGUGUCUCAUUUAUCACUGGAAAUUCAAGGGGUUCCAAUAAAUACCCACAUUGUUAGAUGAGGAAUCUGAGGCUUUUUGGAUUCACUACUUAUAAAAUGUAUGACUUUGGGCAAGUUACUUAACAUCUCUCUAAAAGCCUCAUCUACAAAUGGUAAAAUAUCAAUUUUUUGUAGCUAUUGACAUAAUUGAGUUGAUGCAUAUAAAGGGCUUGGACUAUAGCAAGCUGAGUAAGUGUGAUCUGCUAAUAAUAUUAUUACCCUCUGCUCUCCCAUAUGAAUGAAUAUGAAUUCGGCUUAUAUGAUAUGAAGAAACCAAAAAAUUACCUGGUCAAUUAGUUCCGAGAGAAAUUGAAUUGUGACUGACCCAAGUCUUUGUUUUCGUGAUAGCUGACAACAGCCACUUCAAUUUGAGUUAUGAAAGCAGAAUUCAAAAUAUAAACAUGUGAGACUGUCAGGCUGAAGAUUAGCAAAUAAUCUGGGGUCACUUUAAAAAUACCACUAAUGUCCCUGGAUCACCUAGAGAUUAUUAGGCAAAUAGAUGUCCCUCCCCAGCUGCUUCCUCACACUAUCUCCAUAUCUACCACCUGUUUGAGGAAAUUCCAGGUGCCUCAGUCCUCAGCCCUUUUCGUAGCCUUUUUUUUUUUUUUUUUUUUUUUUGCGUUUUCAGGGCUGCACCUGUGGCACAUGGAAAUUCCCAGACUAGGGGUUGAAUUGGAGCUACAGCCGCUGGCCUACACCACAACUCAUGGCAAUGCUGGAUCCUUAAACCACUGAGUGAGGCCAGGGAUCAAACCCACAUCCUCAUGAAUCCUAGUUGGGUUCGUUAACCACUGAGCCAUGAAGGGAACUCCCUGUAGCCUGUCCUAUGUUACAGCAACUCAAGGUCACCGUCCCCAUUGAGCACCACACAAAUGCUGCUUCUCUUGCUUAGUGAAGCUUUAGUUUAUCACCCUGGGCAUCUAUGGUCUCACAACUCCAGAGGGAAGAGUCAACGCCGUCACUAUUCAUUUCCAUUUAUCAUGACACCGCAAAGAGAUGUCCUUCACAAUGACACCAUCUCCUUCUAAUGCUUUAUACAGUGUAUUCUUUUCUCUCAUUAAUGACUUGACUGAUGAUGAUAAAAGACGCCUUGAAAUUCAGCUUGCCUGUCUGUGGUCCUACUUUCUGGUCAUUCCAAUCAUGUCCAGAUGUUUCCCUGCCCUCUCCACCUCCAGACACUCACAAGGGAAAUUGAAAGCAUUCCUUAUGUUACUUGUUGUGGAUGGUGUGCUAUUUACAGAAAAGACGAUGCAUUCCAUGUUUUCAUGUGAUUUCUGGUUCCGUGUUCCUAAAUUUAAUCAUUAAAAAAAUCAAGGGGUUCCCAUUGUGCUUCAGUGUUAAAAAAUCCAACUAGUAACCAUGAGGACGCUGGUUCGAUCUCUGGCCUCACUCAGUGAGUGAAGGAUCUAGCAUUGCCGUGAGCUGUGGUGUAGUUCACAGACACAGCUCAGAUCUGGUGUUGCUGUGGCUGUGGUGUAUGUCGGCAGCAUAGCUCUGAUUCAACCCCUUGUCUAGGAACAUCCAUAUGCUGUGGAUGCGGCCCUAAAAAAAAAAAAAAAAAAAAAAAAAAAAAAAAAAAAAUCAAAUAGUACUGGCCAACACAUAUGUCAAAAGUGGCUUUCCCUGAUCAAUAAAUGGCAAAAAUAAGCUCAAGUUCUCUGACCUUUCUAGCGAUAUACACAUAAAAUAUUUUCUUUAAUAAUUAAAGAGAAAACUUAAAAACUCCUCUUCUAACUGUGAUAAGGAGAGGCUGAAUUUACCUUUUUGUUUGAAACAACCAAAAAAAUAAAAAAUAAAUUAAACAUACAAAACUUUGGUUUCCAAGAUAGUGGACCCCCAGCAACAAAAGUCAGUAAUCUCUGAGAAAUGGGAAACAAAUGAGGCAAAGUCAGGUUUGCCCCAGCUCACUACUUGAGAGUUUCUGGCUGUGUCUCAGGGAGCGGGAACCCAACCAAAAUCUUUGAGUAGAGAAUGGGAAGCCCGAAUUUUAGCAAGACCAGAUUUGGCAGGACAGAGUACCAGAGAGGAGAAAGAUGCACAGAGAGAGAACUUCAGAGAUUUGCAGAAGGUCCCCUAGAGUUUUUAGAUGGGUAUCAGCACACACAUUUGAGACCAGGGGAUUAACUACCAACAAGUAUUAGAAGGAAAAUUUACCAGAGUUCAUACAGGGCCGUGAAAAAUGCCCAUUCUCAUUAGCACAACUGAAAAAAACUCAUUAUUUAUAGGAGACUGAGUACAGUAUUUAGAAAGUUCUUGACUGAGUAAUGGGGAAUAAUUAGCCAUAUCAUUAAUGGCUACUCUAGUCUAGUCCCACCUAACAAAUCUUAAGAGCAAGAUCUGAAAGGAUUAAACUGAAUCAGAGUAACUUGUGUCCCCAAACGAAGCUAAGGAUAUUUAUAGAACACAAAGAUGACCAUUACCCAACAAAGUAAAAUCUACAAUACCUGGCCUUAAAUUAAAAAUUACUGUGGAUGCAAGGAAACAGGAUAAUAUAUGAGGAUGCGGGUUUGAUCCCUGGCCUCACUCAGUGGGUUAAGGAUCCGAUGUUGCCAUGAGCUGUGGUGUAGGUCAAAGACACAACUUGGAUCUGGCGUUGCUGUGGCUGUGGCAUAGGCCGGUGGCAGCAACUCCGAUUAGAUCCCUAGCCUGAGAACCUGCGUACACCGAGGGUGCAGCCCUGAAAAUAAAAAAAAAUAAAUAAAUAAAUAAAAAGGAAAAGGAAAAGAAAAAUUAAUUAAAAGCAAUCCAGAAUUUGCACAGAUAUUAGAAUUAGCAAAUGUAUGUUUUAAAUUAUUAUAACUAUUUUCCUUACAUUCCAAAAAGUUCAGACAUGAAAAGACAUGUAGAACACAUAUCAAAUUUCUAGAUGCGAAAUCUGCAAUGUAUGGGAUUAAAAAUACACAGGAUAAAAUUAGCAGCAGAUAAUUGUGGAAGAAAAAAAACUGGUGAACCUGAAGACACAACAGUAGAUCCAAAGUGAAACACACAGAGAAAAAAAUAAAUAAAAAGAUACUCAAGAUGGAUUUCAGUGAGAAGGUGACUUUUAAGCAAAAAAUUUGAAGGAGGCAGGGACGUAGGCAAAAGAUAUCCAGCGUAAGACGAUCCCAGGCAUUACUGGAAAGGAUGGGUCCAGAUGGUGAUUACAAAGUAUUUAACAGAGUAUUUAGCAUUUAAUAAGCACUCAAGAAAUUAGAGUUAUCACUGCUGCUGUUGUUGUUGUCCAUGUCAAACACUGAGAGACUGGGAUGGAAGAGGAGGAAGGAAACCCAAGUGCAGGGAACUUCCUUUUGCCAGACACUCAUCUGGGCAUUUCCAUAAAUAUUAUCUCACAUAAUAUUCAAAAUUACCCUGUACUAUGGAUAACCCUAUUUUAGAAAGAAGAAGACAGAGACUUUGGGGAGUUGGGAUACUUAUGCAACAUCAUCAAAAGACUAAGAUAGAGAGGUAAUUUGACCUCAGGGUUCUUGGACUUCAAAUCUUAAACACUUUCUGUUCAUUCACCACAUGUGGAAUUUGGGGGAUUGGGGAAUUUAAAUGUUCCAAGCUCUCACACAUCUCUGUUUUGCCCAGGAGUUGCAAACUUAAAUGGAGCUACCAUGAUAAAGUGAAGCAAGGAAGGAGAAAAGGCGGGUCGGUAACCAGUAUUCAGACCUGAGUUAAUAUUGACAUGAUGGAAGAUAGGCCACUGUUGCUUGGGCUCCUUUAUAAAUUUUCCUAAGAGAAGUCAGAAAUCGAUGACAUUUUCUCAUUUUUAAAUUUUGCAUAAAAUUUCCUUAUUUUAAAACUGUAUAUAUGGGUCAUCAUCCUCAAUAAAAGUUUGGAACCACCAAAACAACACAGGACAAUCUUUUAAAAAAUUAUCAUGAGGAGUUCCCGUCGUGGCGCAGUGGUUAACGAAUCCGACUAGGAACCAUGAGGUUGCGGGUUUGGUCCCUGCCCUUGCUCAGUGGGUUAACGAUCCGGCGUUGCCGUGAGUUGUGGUGUA
Molecule: long non-coding RNA, 5119 nt
Filed under: Sus scrofa (pig)
Lineage: Eukaryota; Metazoa; Chordata; Mammalia; Artiodactyla; Suidae
Description: lncRNA (ENSSSCG00035059012.1)
Source: RNAcentral